This 500-nucleotide ribosomal RNA is filed under the name uncultured Alphaproteobacteria bacterium. RNAcentral's name for it is "partial 16S ribosomal RNA". It matches the Rfam family "Bacterial small subunit ribosomal RNA", at positions 8 to 510 of the family's 1533-position model. Lineage: Bacteria; Pseudomonadati; Pseudomonadota; Alphaproteobacteria. The record is from RNAcentral.
AGAGUUUGAUCCUGGCUCAGAUUGAACGCUGGCGGCAUGCCUUACACAUGCAAGUCGAACGGCAGAGAGGAGCUUGCUUNUCUUGAGAGCGNGGACGGGUGAGUAAUGCCUAGGAAUCUGCCUGGNGGNGGGGGAUAACGUUCGGAAACGGACGCUAAUACCGCAUACGUCCUACGGNAGAAAGCGGGGGACCUUCNGGCCUCCCGCCAUCAGAUGANCCUAGAUCGGAUUAGCUAGUUGGGGAGGGAACGGCUCACCAAGGCGACNAUCCNUAACUNGUNUGANAGGAUGAUCACUCACACUGGAACUGAGACACGGUCCAUACUCCUACGGGAGGCAGCAGUGGGAAAUAUUGGACAAUGGGCGCAAGCCUGAUCACCAUGCCGGGUGUGUNAAAGAAGGCUUCGGAUUGUAAAGCACUUUAAGGUGGGAGGAAGGGCAGNAAACCAAUCCUUGCUNNUUUGACNUUACCGCAAAAUAAGCCCGCUUACUNUNUGCCA